GUGCCAGCAGCCGCGGUAAUACAUAGGGGUCAAGCGUUGUCCGGAUUUAUUGGGCGUAAAGAGCUCGUAGGCGGUUCAACAAGUCGGUCGUAAAAGUUUAGGGCUCAACCCUAAAAUGUCGAUCGAUACUGUUGUGACUAGGAUACGGUAGAGGUGAAUGGAAUUCCGAGUGUAGCGGUGAAAUGCGUAGAUAUUCGGAGGAACACCAGUGGCGAAGGCGCUCUGCUGGGCCAUCACUGACGCUCAUGGACGAAAUCCAGGGGAGCGAAAGGGAUUAUAUA
RNAcentral lists this ribosomal RNA (281 nucleotides) under uncultured bacterium. RNAcentral describes it as "partial 16S ribosomal RNA". It matches the Rfam family "Bacterial small subunit ribosomal RNA", at positions 505 to 784 of the family's 1533-position model. The record is from RNAcentral.